Molecule: ribosomal RNA, 370 nt
Filed under: uncultured bacterium
Lineage: Bacteria
Description: bacterial SSU rRNA
Rfam family: Bacterial small subunit ribosomal RNA
Source: RNAcentral
AUUGAACGCUGGCGGCAUGCCUUACACAUGCAAGUCGAACGGCAGCGCGGGAGCAAUCCUGGCGGCGAGUGGCGAACGGGUGAGUAAUAUAUCGGAACGUGCCCUGUAGCGGGGGAUAACCUAUCGAAAGAUGGACUAAUACCGCAUACGCUCUACGGAGGAAAGCGGGGGUCGCAAGACCUCGCACUAUAGGAGCGGCCGAUAUCGGAUUAGCUAGNGGCGGGGUAAAGCCCACCAAGGCGACGAUCCGUAGCUGGUCUGAGAGGAUGAUCAGCCACACUGGAACUGAGACACGGUCCAGACUCCUACGGGAGGCAGCAGUGGGGAAUUUUGGACAAUGGGCGCAAGCCUGAUCCAGCCAUGCCGCGUG